UUUUUUUUUUUUUUGCUUUCUAAUUCUGUAUUUUUGGUAAAGUUUAUAAUUGUUGAUCUUUUCAUUUUCUCAAUGACUGCAAGUUAAUUAGUUGGCUCUUUGUAAACAUUUUAUGUCAGUUGUGAUACAGAUUUAAUCAAUUCAAAAUGCAAAGGGUUUACACAUGAGUGAUUUGAAUCUGUAAAGUGUGAUAAUUUAGACCUUUUUGUAAUAACUCGAAACUCUCUCUUUUUUAAAACUCCUAUGAAUGUGGAAUGACCUAGCUGAUGCAUGAAUCAGUAAAGACUUCCAUAUCCCGUAUGAAGUUAAUAAUCACUAGAUGAGUACCCGCACUACGUGCGGGUUUAUGUAUUACUAUUUACAAAUUGUUUUAUAUAAUGUAUGUUCAUAUAAAGUAAAGUUGAAUGCAUCUGUUUUGAAACAUAAAUAUGAUUUGUAAUUGUUUUCAAAAAGUCCAACUAUAUUAGUUCAUCUGAAAACGAAAGUGCUUGAAUUGUUUUUUAUUGUUGUUCUAGAUUCUCAGUUUUUUUUUUUUAUUUAUAUAUCCUUGUUCUUUUGGUUAUAUAUUUAGUUUGUGAGACGGUGAAACUUUAGAAAAUUUAUUUCUUACAUUAAAAAUAUAACAUGUCUUUAUUAACCAUGUCUCUACAUAUCCAAUAUAAUUAUAUUCAACUUGAUGUUCUUGGAAAGUUUAGUUAAGUUCUUCUCAUAAUCUGUAUUAGUUAUAAGGAUACCUCCUUAAACAUCUUUCAAAUUACUUGUUUUCUUAGCAUAAAUCUCGAAAAGCUUAAAUAUAUUUAAUUUGCAUAUUCAUUUAGUUUCUUUCAUAAUAAUCGUCUAAUUUUUAGGCAAGGAAUCUAUAUAUACAUUUUUGCAGCCAUUUUGUGAAAUAAAUCCUGUAGUUGGACUUAUUUACAAUGGUUGCCACUGGAUUUUAAUGUUUGUUUUUGAUAAUUAAAAAGAAAAUCUUCGAAUUAAAUAUUUGACAUUUAACAAUCUUCCCAAAAUCUCUCCACAUUAACUACACGAUUAUUUACUAAAAUAUUACUUCCAA
Molecule: small RNA, 1054 nt
Filed under: Arabidopsis thaliana (thale cress)
Lineage: Eukaryota; Viridiplantae; Streptophyta; Magnoliopsida; Brassicales; Brassicaceae
Description: ATSL144190
Source: RNAcentral